GAUGUAGCUCAGUGGUAGAGUAAUUGCCUGGCAUAAAUUGAGGCCCUGGGUUCAAUCCCCAGCACA
This 66-nucleotide transfer RNA is filed under the name Marmota monax (woodchuck). RNAcentral describes it as "tRNA.Undet". The record is from RNAcentral. Lineage: Eukaryota; Metazoa; Chordata; Mammalia; Rodentia; Sciuridae.